RNAcentral lists this ribosomal RNA (1111 nucleotides) under Staphylococcus aureus. RNAcentral describes it as "partial 23S ribosomal RNA". It matches the Rfam family "Bacterial large subunit ribosomal RNA", at positions 444 to 1559 of the family's 2925-position model. The record is from RNAcentral. Lineage: Bacteria; Bacillati; Bacillota; Bacilli; Caryophanales; Staphylococcaceae.
CUGGGAGGACCAUCUCCUAAGGCUAAAUACUCUCUAGUGACCGAUAGUGAACCAGUACCGUGAGGGAAAGGUGAAAAGCACCCCGGAAGGGGAGUGAAAUAGAACCUGAAACCGUGUGCUUACAAGUAGUCAGAGCCCGUUAAUGGGUGAUGGCGUGCCUUUUGUAGAAUGAACCGGCGAGUUACGAUUUGAUGCAAGGUUAAGCAGUAAAUGUGGAGCCGUAGCGAAAGCGAGUCUGAAUAGGGCGUUUAGUAUUUGGUCGUAGACCCGAAACCAGGUGAUCUACCCUUGGUCAGGUUGAAGUUCAGGUAACACUGAAUGGAGGACCGAACCGACUUACGUUGAAAAGUGAGCGGAUGAACUGAGGGUAGCGGAGAAAUUCCAAUCGAACCUGGAGAUAGCUGGUUCUCUCCGAAAUAGCUUUAGGGCUAGCCUCAAGUGAUGAUUAUUGGAGGUAGAGCACUGUUUGGACGAGGGGCCCCUCUCGGGUUACCGAAUUCAGACAAACUCCGAAUGCCAAUUAAUUUAACUUGGGAGUCAGAACAUGGGUGAUAAGGUCCGUGUUCGAAAGGGAAACAGCCCAGACCACCAGCUAAGGUCCCAAAAUAUAUGUUAAGUGGAAAAGGAUGUGGCGUUGCCCAGACAACUAGGAUGUUGGCUUAGAAGCAGCCAUCAUUUAAAGAGUGCGUAAUAGCUCACUAGUCGAGUGACACUGCGCCGAAAAUGUACCGGGGCUAAACAUAUUACCGAAGCUGUGGAUUGUCCUUUGGACAAUGGUAGGAGAGCGUUCUAAGGGCGUUGAAGCAUGAUCGUAAGGACAUGUGGAGCGCUUAGAAGUGAGAAUGCCGGUGUGAGUAGCGAAAGACGGGUGAGAAUCCCGUCCACCGAUUGACUAAGGUUUCCAGAGGAAGGCUCGUCCGCUCUGGGUUAGUCGGGUCCUAAGCUGAGGCCGACAGGCGUAGGCGAUGGAUAACAGGUUGAUAUUCCUGUACCACCUAUAAUCGUUUUAAUCGAUGGGGGGACGCAGUAGGAUAGGCGAAGCGUGCGAUUGGAUUGCACGUCUAAGCAGUAAGGCUGAGUAUUAGGCAAAUCCGGUACUCGUUAAGGCUGA